GACGAACGCUGGCGGCGUGCUUAACACAUGCAAGUCGAACGGAAAGGCCCUGCUUUUGUGGGGUGCUCGAGUGGCGAACGGGUGAGUAACACGUGAGUAACCUGCCCUUGACUUUGGGAUAACUUCAGGAAACUGGGGCUAAUACCGGAUAGGAGCUCCUGCUGCAUGGUGGGGGUUGGAAAGUUUCGGCGGUUGGGGAUAGACUCGCGGCUUAUCAGCUUGUUGGUGGGGUAGUGGCUUACCAAGGCUUUGACGGGUAGCCGGCCUGAGAGGGUGACCGGCCACAUUGGGACUGAGAUACGGACCAGAAGCCUACGGGAGGCAGCAGUGGGGAAUAUUGCACAAUGGGCGGAAGCCUGAUGCAGCAACGCCGCGUGCGGGAUGACGGCCUUCGGGUUGUAAACCGCUGUCGCCUGUGACGAAGCGUGAGUGACGGUAAUGGGUAAAGAAGCACCGGCUAACUACGUG
RNAcentral lists this ribosomal RNA (468 nucleotides) under uncultured bacterium. RNAcentral describes it as "partial 16S ribosomal RNA". It matches the Rfam family "Bacterial small subunit ribosomal RNA", at positions 28 to 507 of the family's 1533-position model. The record is from RNAcentral.